This 120-nucleotide ribosomal RNA is filed under the name uncultured bacterium. RNAcentral describes it as "partial 16S ribosomal RNA". It matches the Rfam family "Bacterial small subunit ribosomal RNA", at positions 796 to 915 of the family's 1533-position model. The record is from RNAcentral.
CACGCUGUAAACGAUGAAUACUAGGUGUGCGGGGACUGACCCCCUGCGUGCCGCAGUUAACACAAUAAGUAUUCCACCUGGGGAGUACGAUCGCAAGGUUGAAACUCAAAGGAAUUGACG